CCUACGGGUGGCAGCAGUGAGGAAUAUUGGUCAAUGGGAGGAAUCCUGAACCAGCCAUGCCGCGUGCAGGACGACGGCUCUACGAGUUGUAAACUGCUUUUGUACCGGGGUAAAAUGCUCUACGAGUAGGGUUUUGAAAGUACGGUACGAAUAAGGAUCGGCUAACUCCGUGCCAGCAGCCGCGGUAAUACGGAGGAUCCGAGCGUUAUCCGGAUUUAUUGGGUUUAAAGGGUGCGUAGGCGGAACAUUAAGUCAGCGGUAAAAUCGAGGGGCUCAACCCCUUUAAGCCGUUGAAACUGGUGAUCUUGAGUGGGCGAGAAGUAUGCGGAAUGCGUGGUGUAGCGGUGAAAUGCAUAGAUAUCACGCAGAACUCCGAUUGCGAAGGCAGCAUACCGGCGCCCGACUGACGCUGAGGCACGAAAGCGUGGGGAUCGAACAGGAUUAGAUACCCCUGUAGUC
Molecule: ribosomal RNA, 459 nt
Filed under: uncultured bacterium
Lineage: Bacteria
Description: partial 16S ribosomal RNA
Rfam family: Bacterial small subunit ribosomal RNA
Source: RNAcentral